This is a long non-coding RNA of Takifugu rubripes (torafugu), 2652 nucleotides long. The record is from Ensembl. Lineage: Eukaryota; Metazoa; Chordata; Actinopteri; Tetraodontiformes; Tetraodontidae.
AUGGAAAGUAGACAACAAUGGCUUACCAGGCUGAAAAAUGAACUUAGCAACAGUCCUCUUGUGUCAAAUGUGGCUUUUGGGUUUAUCCUCAUGGGACUAGAGAAGCUGGUGGAGCUGGAGUUUGAGUGUCCUUGCAGUCCUACAUGGAACGGACUGUUUUCCUCAGCAUUCUUCAUCAUUCCCGCCGUCAUGGCCUUCACCUUGAUGUUGAUCAUUCAAGGAUGCAGAUGUGAUGAGUGGUGCAGGAAGACUGUGUCCCUGUCCAGUUUCGUGCCUGCUAUCGUGUGGCUGAUCUUGUUGUUCCUCGACGGCCAGUACUUCGCCUGUGCUAUGACAGACUGGGAGGGUAGAUUUGUACUCGUUGACAAGGCAGCUCCACAGAAGUGGUGUGAGCCAAUUAGUGAAGGAGAUGUCACCCCACAAGAGCUGAUGCUCCGCUCACAACAGCUGUUUGUUUUUUCUCAGGUUAUAGGCAUAAUCCUCCUCAUCUUCAUCUGUGUGGGUCUCAUAGUGUAUGUAAUCAGAGAAAGUUGCCAACAGGAGGUGGAGAUGGAGGAUGCAGAUGUAGCAGAGCUCACCGUGCUCAGGAUGAGCUCUCUACGGACCAGGACCUCCUGAGAGAGACCACGUACACCGCCCACCACACCUACUGUGCUGAAACGCACACUUUAAUCAGUUUAUUUUGUUGAGCAGAAUCCUGUUGACAUCAGCAACAUCCCACUAAAAACAAGAGAUCACCAGAAAUCUUCAUCCCAUCAAUCAAAAAGGACACAUUUAAUUGUUUAAUUUGUUUUUUAUUUAACUUUCCAUGAUUUUCCUCUUCCUUAGUUUUAGCUUAACUGACACAGGUGGUAAUGACCAGGCAGCUAAUAUCAAUCUGAUGUAUAAUGUUGAUUCACUUAUAUUUGUUUGAGUGGUUGUUAAUGACUAAAUGUGUAAUUUCACUUUAAAUAUCUUUGUUUUUCCACAUGACCGCGUUAUCAGACUGAUAUCCAGCCAGUCCCACCCUGCUGAUCAACAGUAACUCAGAUCAAACCAGAUUAAUGAUUCAUCAUCAGGAUCAACACGUUGUAGAUAUAUAUUCUGUAACAAAUUGUGUUUUUUUUUGUAAUUGUUUUCUAAUAAAAGUAUUUAUUGAAGUAAAACCCUCAGCAAUUGUCUCAAUCUUAAAAUAAUCCUCCUUCUUCUGCUUCUUUCGUAUGAAAUGGGGACAGAUUCUGUAGGAUGAUCCUGUGGGAGGGUUUAUGCAAGACUUACUGAUGACUGAGGAAGUUGUCUUUAGCCACUGAUUUACUCUCUUUCCAUCUCUCUUCAUCUCUCUCGCUGACACACAUGCACAUUUUUACUCUAAUACUCAUUUUUACUUAGUCCAGCACAUCCUGUGUAAUUCUGUACCUUAAAUACUGUGGAAAUGCAUUGACUGGGUGACAUUUAUGGUUUAUUUAACCAGCUGGGUCCUGAUUUUAUUUUCGAUGAAUUUAUGAUUUCUAAUCAAGUUAUAAAAAAGUGUAUUUAGUGUGAUUACAAGAAUACAAGAAUCAUACAAUAUAUGAAAUUUGCUACAACAUAAUGAUUUUCAAAGUGUGAUUUUUAAGUUCUGAUAGAAUCAAUACUGAAUGAAUGUCCUUUUUUUUAAAUCACGCUUCAAUUUUGCUCUCACUCAUCUAGAACACAAGCAUCGUACUAGAGCAGCAAAGGUCAUGAAAAUGAGCAGCGUGAUUCCAGCUAAGAAGAGCAUCACGUCUACAGAGUGAUAGGAAUACCAGGGCAGCCUGUAGGACUCAGUCCUCAGGUGAGCUGCACCUUUGUGUCUCAUGACAAACUCUAUCCAGAAGAGGGCGCUGUCCAUCGGCUUCAUCGGCGCGUCUCUGUGCAGGCAACCCGAGGUGGGGAGCCAGCAGGACCCCUCCUCCGUCAGCAGGAUCUGUCACAACUAGGUCAAAUUUGGAAGCUUGGAAGGAUUCCAUCAACUCUUUACUCUCAAAAGUGUAUAAUCACUUCACAUGUUUUCCUGUGCAAUUCAUAGAAGCUGUAUUUCAAUCUUGACAACUUGUUAUGGUGAAAUGUGUCGUUUUCCCUGACAGCAACGUUGAGUGUGAUGGUCUAGUAAUGUAGAGAUGUUUGGCUGAUGUACCAGCUGUCCGCAGCCUGGAUCACCAUCACCUUGUGCAGCUCCUCAACCAGGACCCUCAUGUUCACCCAGUGGAUUCCUACGUGUGGAAAACCAAAACGUUACCACCGAGUAUUGUUGAAAUUAUGGCAGUGGGAAGGCAGAUUACGGUUGCAAAGAGCAAAAACUUUACGAAAUCUUCCAUGCAGAAAUUCAAACAAAGCAAAAACUAGAACAUAUUCCAGGAAAGACUUUGCAGAAGUGAAGCAAUAAAGAGAGGUGGUUGAAACAGGGUUUCAGGAAUUAAACUUUCUGUAGUCUCUCCACUUUUGUUUGACUGUUCUCACAUGUACACAGCACAUGGAGCCUCUCCCAGUAAAUAACACACUGGUGACACUGGAGAUUAACUAGAAGUGGGAGAUUCUGAUGAUAUAUAAGUUGGAGACAUUAUUUUCCUUGUAUUGUCAUAAAGACUGACUGGGCAGAAAUAAUUCACCCCUUAUGUUCAAGAGAGAUGCUUAAUAAUUUGCAAGGCGCUUUUA